Molecule: non-coding RNA, 28 nt
Filed under: Homo sapiens (human)
Lineage: Eukaryota; Metazoa; Chordata; Mammalia; Primates; Hominidae
Source: RNAcentral
UGAAAAGAGAGGUGCAUAAGAGAGAAAU